AACCAUAGAAACCUGCGGAGUACCUGCGGAAGGAUCAUCAGUGUGAUCUGGGUGUGCAUGGGAUCAGUGAUCUCGUGCGCCCCACCAAUCUUUUGUGCACGGUUUCACGGUCAACGAGGCGUUGUGUGUGUGUUGGCAAGCGCGUCCCCUGGUGGGAACUUGCCAACCGCAUGCGUGCGUUCUCUCUGAAAUCUCUGAUGCAAUCUCUGUCUAACGUGUUACCACGCAAUCAAUACAACU
Molecule: unclassified non-coding RNA, 240 nt
Filed under: soil metagenome
Description: partial contains 5.8S ribosomal RNA, internal transcribed spacer 2, and large subunit ribosomal RNA
Source: RNAcentral